CUUCUCACAGCAUUUUAGUAUGAGUAACGAUUAAAGACAAAAAACAUGUGGUUGAAGGCUCUAAUUAUAAUUCCGCUGGUAACUAUUCUGGCCCAUCGCAUUCCUGGUGCAGGUUCCUAACUACACUUUUGCCCGAAUUCAAGAUAUUUUGCCAAUACGCGGCGGCCACUUGCGGUGUGUGCCAGACGCUCAGCAAAACGGCAUGUCGUAGCGAAAACAGCUUUUCCGCAUGCUCGUCAGGUAAGCCCAAAUAAACACACAUAUAUUGGGGGAAUACCAAUUAGCAUUAUUUCACUUCCAGGAGUACCUCUUAACGAUAUACUCAACUGCCCGACAAAUUAUUUUUGCACCGAUGGCGAGUACACUUGCUAUGAAAAUGCUGAGCCGGUAUGCAAAGCAGAUAAAGCACCUACCACAACCACCACAAUGAUGCCUUGGACUGCAGACUGCGAGCAAGCCACCAAAUCUGGCUUUCAAAAAAACGAAAAUGAUCCCACGUGCACUUCGUAAGAACAUAAGUAUUCUGAAAAGGUUACCGCCGAAUGAAAACUAAAUCCCCCCACCUAUUCACAGUUUCUUGCAUUGUAAAGUCGCCGAGGACGGCACAUUAGAAAGCGCUUCAAUUUUGAAAUGCAAACCUAACCAAUACUUUGAUGUGUCCUUAAAUACAUGUACGGCCACAAAACCAGAUGGGUGUACGGCAGUGUCUACCGAACCAACUACGACAACUCAAAAACCUUGGAGCGCAGAGGAAACCUGUCUGGAUGUGACCAAGUCUGCAUCAUUUAAGAAUGAAGAUGAUCCCACAUGCGCCACGUAAGAAUAUUUUUUCCGAUUUUUGACAGUAGGUCCUAAACUAAAGUGGCUUUUUUCUUUCAGCUACCUCUAUUGUUAUGUGUCAAAUGGAGUAGCAACGGCGCUAAUCUAUACUUGUAAAGAAACAAAGCCAUACUUUGAUUCAACUUUAAAGGGCUGCAGUGCUAAGAAACCAGCCGAUUGUGCAUAAAAUUUAUAUUUAAUAUUUUUAAUUAUAUUUUGAGUUUGGGUAUUAAUUUA
RNAcentral lists this long non-coding RNA (1056 nucleotides) under Drosophila guanche. Lineage: Eukaryota; Metazoa; Arthropoda; Insecta; Diptera; Drosophilidae. The record is from RNAcentral.